This 207-nucleotide ribosomal RNA is filed under the name uncultured bacterium. RNAcentral's name for it is "partial 16S ribosomal RNA". It matches the Rfam family "Bacterial small subunit ribosomal RNA", at positions 1295 to 1500 of the family's 1533-position model. The record is from RNAcentral.
GGAUUGAAGGCUGAAAUUACGCCUUCAUGAAGUCGGAAUUGCUAGUAAUGGCAGGUCAGCAUACUGCCGUGAAUACGUUCCCGGGCCUUGUACACACCGCCCGUCACACCAUGAGAGUUGGGAAUACCCGAAGCCUGUGAGCUAACCGUAAGGGGGCAGCAGUCGAAGGUAGAAUCAAUGAUUGGGGUGAAGUCGUAACAAGGUAUC